GCCCUGAUAGCUCAGUCCGGUUAGAGCACCUGUUUAGUAAUCAGGACGUCGGCGGUUCGAAUCCGUCUCGGGGCUCCA
Molecule: transfer RNA, 78 nt
Filed under: Streptomyces phage Vash
Lineage: Duplodnaviria; Heunggongvirae; Uroviricota; Caudoviricetes; Colingsworthviridae
Also listed under: 1 other name
Description: tRNA-Thr
Rfam family: tRNA
About the family: Transfer RNA (tRNA) molecules are approximately 80 nucleotides in length. Their secondary structure includes four short double-helical elements and three loops (D, anti-codon, and T loops).
Source: RNAcentral